CUCCGAGAAAUGAUGGGGGUGUAGAUUUUGUUUACGUAUAUUCGGAUAUCGUUGCCCCUUGCCGGUUUGCUGGUCAACAGGUUAAUAUCUUAGAUGCAUUUGCUUUGCAAGGUUCGAGUACUAAGGGAUACACGCCCACACUCUAUAAACAACUCUUAAGCAAGACUUUAAAUUCGGUGGGUGUGCACAUUACAGAUCAGAAUGGGUAUCCCAUAGUUUUCGAGGAGGGUCAUUCUGUUACACUUAUACUUCACAUAAGACCUAGGUAAAUUUUGUAUAUAUAAAGACGGUGCAUGUAUAUCUGUACUUAUUUUACAUCGGUACGUCGUCCCGGUGUGUUUGUUUGUUUAUGCAGAGCAAAGACUGACACCGCUUCGAUUUCCAUCAUGUAUGUGAGAGCACCUUUUGUUCCGCCGACGGUUGAGGAAUUUAUGGUCAUCUUUGAACAGCCAGAAUCGCAGAUUAAACCCUUUCGAGGAGGGUCAUUGGGGGAUAUUAGUGUGUAUAGACCCUAUGAUAAUUACAGAAGAGGUGCCGGGUUACUCUCUUUUCUCGGUAAUAUUGGCAAGAGAUUAAUUCCGUUUGUUUCUAAGCUCGUUAAGCCUGCCCUGCUUGAUUUUGGGUCUGGUGUUAUUGAUGAUAUGAGACAGGGGAAUGGCAGUUUAAGGUCUUCUCUGAAAAAAAGAGGGGUGGAGGCAGUUAAACAUAUCGGUGCGAGGGCAAUGAGAGGAGGAGGAGGAGGAGGAGGAGGAAGAGGAGUGCGUAGAAAACGGAAAAGAGUGAAACGAUUGACAAUUCGUCCCAGUUGUUCGAGCUAUAAAAAAGAUGUCUUUUCCUUGGCUUAGUCAGUUAUAGACUCGUCUUGACGAGGUGCGCAAUAGUAAUAUAGAGUUAAGAGUGUAAUAUCAUUAUUAACAAUCAUGAAUCAGUACAAGACACCGCUGUCAUCUUAUGUUGCCGGGGUAAGCGAUAUGUUUCCCCGGUCAAAUAGAUUGCACAUGAUUGAAUCAGGGAUAGAAGAACGGUCUGAGGUGGAUGUGCUGCCUUUUAACGCGGGGAUUAAUGGUUCUGUUACAGAUAAUUAUGCAGAAUUUAGGUGGCCUGCCGGGCAAAAUUGUUAUGUUGACUUAUCAAGAUUGGUUUUAGAGAUUAAGGGCAGUUUGAGAAAAGAGGAUGGUACUUUAUUAAGCGAAGGUGAUCAUGCUGUAUUGUGCAACUCUGCCAUGCACUCGCUAAUUAAAUCUGUGACGGUUUAUUUUAAUGGGCAGCAAGUAGAACAAAAUCCUCUGUAUAAUUUUUCGUCAUAUGUUCGCCUAGAAACGGGUAUGUCUCCUUCGCUGAAGAAAACAUUAGGAAGAAAUAUGCAUUAUUAUGAUCAUUCUAGCAUACCGAGGAGCUAUGCGGAAGAUUAUUUUACAGGCGCUAGUGAACAAGAGAAAUCUGAUAUGAAUGAGGUUAAGACUAGUGGAUUUCAUUUUAUGGCUCCGCUAAUGUUAGAUAUAGCAACAAUGGAUAUGUAUCUCUUAGACAAUGUCUCUAUGAGAAUACGACUUGAGUUUGCCUCGGACCGGUUUGUUAUUAACACCAGCCCGCAGGCGGUUGGAUCAAAGCCUGUGGUGAAGAUAGAGACUUGUAAAAUGCAUUUAACAACACUUAAACCGAGAGAUUCAGCACGAGAGGCUCUUAAUAAAUCUUUAAUUCGCAGUCCUCUUAGCUACAUAUUUAAUAAAACGCUAUACAAAACUUAUGUUAUGGCAAGCCAACAAACCCAACUUGCUAUUGACAUGCCGUGGGGGUCAACGAUUCCUGAAAAGUUAUCUCUUUUUAUGGUUGACAUGAAGGCUUAUGCGGGAGACUAUAACAUGAAUCCUCUACAUUUCGGUCAUAAUCAUUUGAGCAAACUUUUUGUUACCGUUAAUAACAACUCUGUGUACAAUAUAAGCACGAGUUUCCCGAGUCGUUGCUCAGAUUUAUAUUAUCACUCGCUUAAUGCACUGGGGUUGGAAAAGGAGCAUUCGCUUGAUAGACAUGGGUUUGUGAACGGUAAAAUGAUUGCUGUUAUGGAUUUGCAACCUGAAAAGCUGCAGGAUGCGAUAGCUAUUGAAAAUUCGGGAAGUCUUAGGAUUGCCGUUGAAUUGUCGCAGCCUUACGACUCGAAUAUUGUUUUAUUUUUGGUGGGUGAUACGCAAGGUGUAAUUUACGUUGAUAACGAUCGUAGGGUGGUUGCAGAUGUCAGAGCAUAAUGAACUGCAACGAGGUGUCGAGUAUUUGUUCGCAGUUUCUGAGGAGAGGAUAUGUGUUGCGGGGGUGUUUCUUGGCUGAUCAACUGCCUAUUAGAAUAGGUCGCACAAACCAUAAUGAAUUCUUUGUGGUUAACAUACUUACAUCUCGCCAUAGACCGUCAAUUAUGGGGCAUUAUGUAUUAGUAGUUAUUGGGAAAUCUUAUAUUGCUUACUUUGAUUCUUAUGGGAUCAAACCACGUGUUUAUUCUUCUUGGUUGCAAGGAUUUAUCAGCCAGUAUUAUGAUAAGAGGUUUCUUGAUAUUAGUAGACGUUUACAGAGUCUUGAUAGUUUAACAUGCGGGGCAUAUGUAAUCUUUAUCAUGUAUCAUAUUAAUUUGUAUGGGGUGGAUCGUAUUAAUAAUUUUCUACGUUGUUAUUUUUCGCACGAUGAUUUCAAAUAUAAUGAUAGGAAGGUUAUAAGAUUUUUGUAUAGACAUUUUAACAUGCCUCGAUGUGAGAGAUUAUUUUGUGAUAGAUCUCUAAGCAAAAGGAAAUGUAAGCAGCUGUACUGCAGUUAGUUCCUCGCCCUUCCGCCCCUCGUCCCUACCUCCUCCUCCCCUUCUUCCGCUGACCCUUUUUUUUUCGUGAUUGUGAUUGGUUGGAGAGUUUGCUGAGUACUUGGGUCAUGGCUUUAUAAGAACCGAUUCGUGUAUAAGCUGUGUCACACCCGUCUAACCGAACCAUAUCAAGAUGAGCUCGAUAUUUGCUGAGACUACCGAGGUAGAAGGUAUGUAAUUUUUACGAGUUUUUUUUAGGUGAUAUGUUAUCUUCUUGGAAACAUUGUGCUACGGUCUUUUUAUUGGGUACAUAUAGAGAAGUAACCCGUGUAAAUCUUAUUUACAGGUGUUUAUGUUGGUAUAAACGACAACGUUGCUGUCGUCUUUAUCACCGGUACUGCAACUGUGGAUGAUGGGAAAAUACGGGAUAUUUUUGAGAAGGGGGUUACCGAAUGCCGUAUAUAUAAAUGUGUGAGCGAGCCGCAAAAAUUGACGCUGUCGACAGCGAAGAGAAGGAUGGAAGAACCUGCCUCCUCUGCGGAAAAAAGAAGACGGGUGUCAGAACCCGUUGCCGUUGCCUCAGAUUCGGCGUGGGGGGAAGAACCGACAUCGUUGCAACCACAGGCUUUCCAGCCUGAUUUAAGUCCCACAUCUCCUGUGUACUACCCUGGAGGGAUGCAGAGGUCGCUGAUUCCAGCGUUGUAUGGCAAUAUAUAUACACAACCGUCGCACUUGCACGGUUUCGAUCUUGGCAGUGGGCCAUCCCACGGUGAGAGGAGUUUGUUGGCAUGCGGUAGUAAUCAGACAAUAGAGAGUUUUCCCUCGCAUGAACCGCCUCCGUUAUAUGAUGGCUUGAUUCCUCUCAUUGACUUAACAGAAGACGAUGAGGAUUCGACAGCAUGCAGUGAUAGUAAUGCAGGAACGGUUAGAAUUUGUUCUUGUCAUCUGCAUCAUAUGUAGGGCGGGAAAAAAUGUGUGUGUGUGUGUGUGUGU
This is an RNA transcript of Penaeus monodon (black tiger shrimp), 3772 nucleotides long. RefSeq lists it as uncharacterized. The transcript is spliced from 2 exons. Lineage: Eukaryota; Metazoa; Arthropoda; Malacostraca; Decapoda; Penaeidae. The record is from RefSeq and is a predicted model, not a curated record.